This is a long non-coding RNA of Panthera uncia (snow leopard), 954 nucleotides long. RefSeq lists it as uncharacterized. The record is from RefSeq and is a predicted model, not a curated record. The transcript is spliced from 3 exons. NCBI's taxonomy places the organism in Eukaryota, Metazoa, Chordata, Mammalia, Carnivora, Felidae.
GCCGCCGUGUCUGAGCCCCGAGCCGGGGAGCCCAGCGUUUGAGGUGGGUAACCCGAGCCCUCGAAGCCCUUGAAGCUGCGGGGGUGGCUUAGCUUCAGUGUUUUGGCCGAGAACACCCUUAAAGCUUAAAAUAAAACCUGCCUGUGGGGUGUGGGGAGGACCGAGGCGUAUGCGCAUCAGCACGCCCCCCUCCCCGCCCCAUACCCUCCUCGGCUCUGGUUUGGGGAACAGGAUGCCGAGGGCUUGGACCAGAGGGGCCGGAGCCCCCCCCCCCCCCCCCCCCCCCCCCCCCGGCCCCGUGGAUGCUCCAGAUCCCGGACCCACACCCCGGCCGGCCCCAGAUGCCCUCCCACACUUACGAAGGAAAUGCAGGCGGCCAGGAGAAGGAUCCGCACCAGGAGGGAGCUCUACCCAGGGAAAAAGAAGAAAAGGACACAUUCAUUUGGGGCUCAGUCUAAUGCCCCCCCCCCAGGAUUCUGGGGCUAAGGGUGGGAAGCCUUAACUGAAGAACUUAGAGCAAGAAGGGUCCUUGGAGGUUGCCGAUCCUGCUGUUCACUGUCCGGUCCCGUUAAGAGAACUUGGCCGCAAACCCCGAGAAGCACUAUUGGGCUCUGCACUUACCGCUCAACAAACAGGACCGCCCACGGGGGAGCAAUGGGCCGAAAGCACAGGGCUAGAGGGCAACAGGGACUUGACCUGACGCAGCCUUCUGGCCUCUCAGCUCUGGAGCGGGCAACGCCGAGUGGGCUGCUUUCCUGCCCCACCUGCCCCAGCCCCCGCUGCAAACAGUGGCCACAGCCAUCAAGACGGAACUGAGAUAAACCCUUUUAUUUAUUUAUGCUUCUCCAUUUUGUUUAAAACAACAACAACAACCACCUUAAUAUAACGGACAGCCCUUCCCCCUCACCCUUCCUCGGGCUGGGGGGGUGGUUAAUGGGGAAAAGGCCCCCAGGG